Molecule: small nuclear RNA, 104 nt
Filed under: Castor canadensis (American beaver)
Lineage: Eukaryota; Metazoa; Chordata; Mammalia; Rodentia; Castoridae
Source: RNAcentral
GUGCUCAUUUUGGCAGCAUAUAUACUAAAAUUGGAACCAUACAGAGAGAUUCAGCAUGGCCCUGCACAAGGAUGACACAAAUUCAUGAAUUGUUCCAUAUUUUU